Molecule: ribosomal RNA, 1196 nt
Filed under: uncultured fungus
Lineage: Eukaryota; Fungi
Description: eukaryotic LSU rRNA
Rfam family: Eukaryotic large subunit ribosomal RNA (bases 473-1196)
Source: RNAcentral
AAGUCGUAACAAGGUAUCCGUAGGUGAACCUGCGGAUGGAUCAUUAACAAAUUAGCUUUACGCUGAAUUUUACCACUUGUGAACUGUGAUGCCUCCGGGUGUCACGCCAUUUCAUAUCGUAACAAAAUUUAUAUCGAUAAGGCAUAAAACUUUUAGCAACGGAUCUCUAGGCUCUCGCAACGAUGAAGAACGCAGCGAAUUGCGAAAAGUAAUGUGAAUUGCAUAUACCGUGAAUCAUCAAAUCUUUGAACGCACCUUGCGCUAUUGUGAAUUCAUGAUAGCACGUCUGUUUGAGCAUCGAUCAACCACUCACCUUAUAUUGGCAACAAUAUAUUGGUACCAUGAAAUGUCUGGCUUGGCUAGCAUUUUCAAGUUUAUGCACCAGUGAUUGCAUUACUGACAGUAUUUACGAUACCUGAAUGUAUGCAGUCAGUUUGGGCACAACAGUGGCUACCAGUCACUUUUAUCAACUUGAUCUCAAAUCAGACGAGGAAACCCGCUGAACUUAAGCAUAUUAAUAAGCGGAGGAAAAGAAACUAACAAGGAUUCCCUCAGUAACGGCGAGUGAAGCGGGAACAGCUCAAAUUUAAAAUCUUGCAAAAGAAUUGUAGUUUAUAGAGGCGUCAUUGUCAGCGGCCUGGGUAAAAGUUUCUUGAAAUGGAACAUCAUAGAGGGUGAGAAUCCCGUUUGUGAUCCAGUCAGCCGUUGCACUGUAUUGCGCUCUCAACGAGUCGGGUUGUUUGGGAAUGCAGCCCAAAGUUGGUGGUAAAUUUCAUCAAAAGCUAAAUAACGGCGAGAGACCGAUAGCGAACAAGUACCGUGAGGGAAAGAUGAAAAGAACUUUGAAAAGAGAGUUAAACAGUACGUGAAAUUGCUAAGAGGGAAACGUUUGAGAUCAGUGUUGGGUGUGUUGAAUCAGCUCGUCAGCAAUGGCGGGUGCACUUUAGCGCAUUCAGGUCAACAUUGAUUUGGGGGAUGCUAAAAUUGUGCAGAAAGGUUGCUCAUCCUCGGAUGUAGUGUUAUAGUCUGCGCAGAUGGCAUCUCCUGGAUCAAGGACAGCGGUGUAAACUUUGCGGACGAACGCGUUGCUGUGAGCGUGAUUCUGACUGGCUGCUUGCAGACUGUCGGCUAAGCGUUUUCACUAGCGCGGUAGUACUCUUGCACCAACGAUGUUGACGAAAUGGUCUUAAACGACC